GUUUUAUUUCAAAAACACCAUUUGCAUAAGUUUUCAAUUUAUCUAGUACAUAGUUAAGCAGAACAAUUAGAUAUCAAGUCGACGACAUGGGUAUCUUUCAAGUUGGAUGACAAAAAUGCAUAACCUCCGAUUUUUUUGAAAAAAUUACCACGGACGGAAAAGAUAUCAAUCUAUUAGUUCAGUAAUUUUCGUGUCUGCCCUUCCAUUAUGUGACUGAAUAAAAAAUUCCAAAAAAUAGGUAACAAUUGUAUCGAAAGAGAAAAUCGAGUGCACCUUUUUAUGUUAGGGCGUGUUUGAGUUGAGUAUUUUGUCUUGAUAUCGUUCAAAGUAAGAAUAUUUCAUACAUCGUCUCGCUUCAGAUUCUAUCAUUUUUAUAAAUUAAAGCUACAGGUUGACUUUAUAACACAAAAAAAUAACAGUACUAAAAGAUGAAAUAUAUGGGUCAAGUGAAAUACCUAUCUAAUGAGUCACACAAACAGGGAAGGUGUGUUCGAAUAGCUAUUUUUUUACUGAAAGUACUUGACGACAGUCUUACAAGUUGGAUGAUGAAAAUGCAUAUCUUCGAAAAAUUCUAAUUUUUUGUGUGUGAUAACUAGGGUUUAUAGUCUUCAACCACUAAAAAAAUCUAGUCUGCCCUUCCACGAAAUAUUUAAUUAGAUUUUUUUU
RNAcentral lists this long non-coding RNA (666 nucleotides) under Mytilus galloprovincialis (Mediterranean mussel). The record is from RNAcentral. Lineage: Eukaryota; Metazoa; Mollusca; Bivalvia; Mytilida; Mytilidae.